Molecule: unclassified non-coding RNA, 344 nt
Filed under: soil metagenome
Description: partial contains 5.8S ribosomal RNA, internal transcribed spacer 2, and large subunit ribosomal RNA
Rfam family: 5.8S ribosomal RNA (bases 2-119)
Source: RNAcentral
GUGAAGAACGCAGCGAAAUGCGAUAAGUAAUGUGAAUUGCAGAAUUCAGUGAAUCAUCGAGUCUUUGAACGCACAUUGCGCCCCCUGGUAUUCCGGGGGGCAUGCCUGUCCGAGCGUCAUUGCUGCCCUCAAGCACGGCUUGUGUGUUGGGCCUCCGUCCUCCUCCCGGGGGACGGGCCCGAAAGGCAGCGGCGGCACCGCGUCCGGUCCUCGAGCGUAUGGGGCUUCGUCACCCGCUCUUGUAGGCCCGGCCGGCGCUUGCCGACACAUCAAUCUUUUUUCCAGGUUGACCUCGGAUCAGGUAGGGAUACCCGCUGAACUUAAGCAUAUCAAUAAGCGGAGGA